UUUUCCCCUGCCCCCCCCCCCCCCUCCCCUCGCCCCCCGCCCGCUUACUCCAACCCUGUGACAUACCUUAUGUUGCCUCGGCGGAUCAGCCCGCGCCCCCGUAAAACGGGACGGCCCGCCGCAGGAACCCCAAACUCUGUUUUUAGUGGAACUUCUGAGUAUAAAAAACAAAUAAAUCAAAACUUUCAACAACGGAUCUCUUGGUUCUGGCAUCGAUGAAGAACGCAGCAAAAUGCGAUAAGUAAUGUGAAUUGCAGAAUUCAGUGAAUCAUCGAAUCUUUGAACGCACAUUGCGCCCGCCAGUAUUCUGGCGGGCAUGCCUGUUCGAGCGUCAUUUCAACCCUCAAGCCCAGCUUGGUGUUGGGAGCUGCGUCCGCGCACUCCCCAAAUACAUUGGCGGUCACGUCGAGCUUCCAUAGCGUAGUAAUUUACACAUCGUUACUGGUAAUCGUCGCGGCCACGCCGUUAAACCCCAACUUCUGAAUGUUGACCUCGGAUCAGGUAGGAAUACCCGCUGAACUUAAGCAUAUCAAUAAGCGGAGGAA
This 545-nucleotide ribosomal RNA is filed under the name Fusarium pseudograminearum. Its description in RNAcentral is "partial 18S ribosomal RNA". The stretch from base 181 to 334 matches the Rfam family "5.8S ribosomal RNA". Lineage: Eukaryota; Fungi; Ascomycota; Sordariomycetes; Hypocreales; Nectriaceae. The record is from RNAcentral.